ACUCCUACGGGAGGCAGCAGUGGGGAAUAUUGCACAAUGGGCGCAAGCCUGAUGCAGCCAUGCCGCGUGUAUGAAGAAGGCCUUCGGGUUGUAAAGUACUUUCAGCAGUGAGGAAGGCGGGUGUGUUAAUAGCGCAUUCGUUUGACGUUAGCUGCAGAAGAAGCACCGGCUAACUCCGUGCCAGCAGCCGCGGUAAUACGGAGGGUGCGAGCGUUAAUCGGAAUUACUGGGCGUAAAGCGCAUGCAGGUGGUUUGUUAAGUCAGAUGUGAAAGCCCGGGGCUCAACCUCGGAAUAGCAUUUGAAACUGGCAGACUAGAGUACUGUAGAGGGGGGUAGAAUUUCAGGUGUAGCGGUGAAAUGCGUAGAGAUCUGAAGGAAUACCGGUGGCGAAGGCGGCCCCCUGGACAGAUACUGACACUCAGAUGCGAAAGCGUGGGGAGCAAACAGGAUUAGAUACCCUGGUAGGAUAGCG
This 473-nucleotide ribosomal RNA is filed under the name uncultured bacterium. RNAcentral's name for it is "bacterial SSU rRNA". It matches the Rfam family "Bacterial small subunit ribosomal RNA", at positions 335 to 799 of the family's 1533-position model. The record is from RNAcentral.